GAAAUCGCCGGCUUAGCCGGUAUAAAAUUCUAUCCACCCUUGUGUGCAAACAAUGGAAGAAAAGAGAGCCAUUUGGAUACUUUUGUAUCCAAUCUCUCUAAAAUUUUUAUAAACUCCAUCAAAUUUUGAAUAAAACUAUUUUUUUUUUAAAUAAAAAUAUUAUA
Molecule: unclassified non-coding RNA, 164 nt
Filed under: soil metagenome
Description: partial internal transcribed spacer 1
Source: RNAcentral